RNAcentral lists this ribosomal RNA (397 nucleotides) under uncultured bacterium. Its description in RNAcentral is "partial 16S ribosomal RNA". It matches the Rfam family "Bacterial small subunit ribosomal RNA", at positions 523 to 918 of the family's 1533-position model. The record is from RNAcentral.
AUACGUAUGGUGCAAGCGUUAUCCGGAUUUACUGGGCGUACAGUGCGCGUAGGCGGCCCUGUAAGUCUGGAGUGAAAGUCCUGUUUUUAAGAUGGGAAUUGCUUUGGAUACUGUCGGGCUUGAGCGCAGGGGAGUGAAGUGGAAUUCCCAGUGUAGCGGUGAUAUGCGUAGAGAUUGGGAGGAACACCAGUGUCGAAGGCGACUUACUGGACUGUAACUGACGCUGAGGCGCGAAAGUGUGGUGAGCAAACAGGAUUAGAUACCCUGGUAGUCCACACUGUAAACGAUGAAUGCUAGGUGUAGGGGGUAUCGACCCCUUCUGUGCCGCAGUCAACACAAUAAGCAUUCCGCCUGGGGAGUACGGCCGCAAGGUUGAAACUCAAAGGAAUUGACGGGG